Topomyia yanbarensis is the source of this 2529-nucleotide long non-coding RNA. RefSeq lists it as uncharacterized. The transcript is spliced from 4 exons. NCBI's taxonomy places the organism in Eukaryota, Metazoa, Arthropoda, Insecta, Diptera, Culicidae. The record is from RefSeq and is a predicted model, not a curated record.
UCAGUACAGCCAUCCCCCCAGAAGUAAUACCGAGAGGUAGUUCCUGGGAGGAAUGAUGGCGGAGCCCAAUGGAGUUUAGUCGGUAUUAAUGGCUGGUCACCAUUCGAGUCCGACACGCCCCCAGUGCACCCCGUGUGGUAGAUUGGACCCUACCGUUAGCACGUGUACUGGGCUAGGACAUAAAGGUCUUCUCCAUUGUAAAAAAAAAAAAACACGCAAAAUCCCACACAACAGCGCACCUUCUUAAAAGAGACCAUUCAGAAGCCACGCAACACAAAAAAGGCACAAACUAGACCCCUACACACAAAUUAUCGCAAAUAUUCCUCUUUGUAACACCCCUACCCCCCUUUCCCGAUAUCUCCAUGUUCCACCUUCAGUGCAAAGACAUUACGUCACGCUCCUGCUCAAUCCCGACCCUCCGAACGUCACAAAAUGCAACACUCCGUCAUGCCCGCUCCUCCUUAAGUGUCACGAAAUUUAUGGAUGGUCCAAAAACAACACCUGAAAGAAAUCAAAAGCAGUACAAAACCCUUUACACAACCAACCAAUACCUUCACAGACAGACUGCUGAUGAACCACCGUAUGCAAACAGUCCCGCUGUACACUGCACCCAAUAUCGGUCUCGCAUCCCUUAACACGUCCAUAAGCAAAAAAAAUCACAAUAUUGUGCGUUUGAAUAAAUCAUCUCUCGCACAACCAAAUCCGGCCUCUCACCCCGUGCGGACACCAACGCUCCCACCCAACCAUCACACAAACGCACUCACAGAUGUACGGCACAGGAAACUGUAAAUUAGGUUCCUUACUGAAACAGUCAACCUCACCUUCCCUGACGUCUCGAUCGCACUGCCUACAUGGACCUAGAAAAACCCGUGGACGGCCAGAUUCGCUCUAAGCAAAUCGUAAAGGACCCCUCCAAGUCCAUGCAAACAGCACAAGCGAACCGUCAAAAAUGAACACUCAGUUCGUUUGUGACGUCACCGUAAAGUACUCAAUUCGAUGGUACAUAAUACACGAGAACAUCGGCACCCGCACACGGCACCGCAAUGAACUAGAAUGGUUGAGAUAACAAAUAAAACACUAUGGGACAUUGCAAGAUGUCGUCAUAUGAGUAAAAAUGCACGAAAAAAUGACAGUUCAGCGAGUCCAUCUACAUGGUGCUAGAAAAUCUUUGAUUCCACGCAAUACAAAAAUCUUAGUUCGAACACCAAGUCCAUGUAAACAAGCUCUCUGAACCGUCAAAAAAGUGAGGUUAUACAUUUCCGUGCAAUGGUCCACAUGAGGUCGACCAAUGAAUACCACAAAACAGUGGGAAUUAAGUGCGAUUGUGUUGGUGCUCACUGCUGAGGGUUUACCACUGCCACAAAGCGUAGGUCUGUAGAAUGCUCUGAAAAAAGUAUACAUUCGACAAAUAUCUCUACACGUUCACCCCUUCUUUCAGUCAUCAUUUAGCGGGUCCAGAUCAGUCAGCAUGUUAUGUCGAGUCAAUCGCAAACACAAAUAUAGAAGAGCAUGCAACCGAAGUGCGAGAGAAUAUCGCAGCGCUCCCCAAGCCCGUCUGAGAAACGAUGCGGCACACAUCAGAGUUGAUGAACAGAGAUGGGACAUGAAAGGCGAUGUAUAAGCCGGAAACAUCCUGCUGACCGAACAGGAUGUAGACGGGUUAGCCGACAGCGAUAGUGCAGUUAUCAAAUGCCCUGCCAAUAGUUUUGUCGGAACACCUUACUGGAUGGCCCCGGAAGUGAUUCUGGCGAUGUAUGAAGGAUAGUAUGAUGGCAAGGUGGAUGUUUAGUCACUAGGAAUUACUUGUAUCGAGCUGGAGAAACGGAAUCAUUCCUACUUCAACAUGAUGGAAAUGUCGACGCUGUAUCACAUUGCGCAAAAUGAGGCGUCCACGUUGCAGGCUACGGACUGGAAAGAUGUGUUCAGCAGUUUUGUUUUUUGCUUGAAGAAACCUUCGGUAGAGUAACCAAACUCUAGUAAACUGUUAACUCAUUCAUUCAUAACUAGGAUACGAUUGCUAAUGUGCUAAUUGAUUUGAUAGCAAGAACAAUAGCUGCCGUUACAAAAUUGGACAAUCUGAACUGUAGGAAGAUGAACAAAAUUUAAAUGGCCAACUCCAGCGAAACGGAAGCAACGUCGGCGAGAACACACCGGACGAGCGAAUCGGUUGCGACAGUAGUACAAAUAACAGGAUCACCUUAGAACAUUCACUCCAUUCGGUGGAUCAGCAUGGUGGAAUUAUACGGAAUGCUUCGAGGCAUCAGCUGCCAGGAUCCGGGCUGCCGCCAAUGCACAACAGUAGUAUGAAUAACUCUAGUGAUCGGGGCAGUUUGAAACCUGGCGACGGUAUUGGUCGGAUGGAUUCCGGAAUUGGUGGAGGCAGCAGCGAAGGUAUAGACAGCUGGUGGAAGUUGUUCUGGACUCUUGCUCCGGAAACAUCAGUGUUCUUGCCACGGGUUACCAAAAUUUAUAGUCCCGUUGCACCUAAUCACCAUUCACAUCCAAUAAUGUAAAACUAAUAAAGUUAGU